GGCUUGCCUCUUGGGGUUGUAGGACAUUCUAUACGGAGUUACAAAGGAACGAGGUAGACGAAGCGACCUGGAAAGGUCCGUCGUAGAGGGUAACAACCCCGUAGUCGAAACUUCGUUCUCUCUUGAAUGUAUCCUGAGUACGGCGGAACACGUGAAAUUCCGUCGGAAUCUGGGAGGACCAUCUCCCAAGGCUAAAUACUCCCUAGUGAUCGAUAGUGAACCAGUACCGUGAGGGAAAGGUGAAAAGCACCCCGGAAGGGGAGUGAAAGAGAUCCUGAAACCGUGUGCCUACAAAUAGUCAGAGCCCGUUAACGGGUGAUGGCGUGCCUUUUGUAGAAUGAACCGGCGAGUUACGAUCCCGUGCGAGGUUAAGCUGAAGAGGCGGAGCCGCAGCGAAAGCGAGUCUGAAUAGGGCGUUUAGUACGUGGUCGUAGACCCGAAACCAGGUGAUCUACCCAUGUCCAGGGUGAAGUUCAGGUAACACUGAAUGGAGGCCCGAACCCACGCACGUUGAAAAGUGCGGGGAUGAGGUG
Molecule: ribosomal RNA, 533 nt
Filed under: Clostridium perfringens
Lineage: Bacteria; Bacillati; Bacillota; Clostridia; Eubacteriales; Clostridiaceae
Description: partial 23S ribosomal RNA
Rfam family: Bacterial large subunit ribosomal RNA
Source: RNAcentral